RNAcentral lists this ribosomal RNA (496 nucleotides) under uncultured bacterium. RNAcentral's name for it is "partial 16S ribosomal RNA". It matches the Rfam family "Bacterial small subunit ribosomal RNA", at positions 29 to 507 of the family's 1533-position model. The record is from RNAcentral.
AUGAACGCUGGCGGCGUGCCUAAUACAUGCAAGUCGCGCGAACAGACGAGGAGCUUGCUCCGCUGACGUUAGCGGCGGACGGGUGAGUAACACGUGGAUAACCUACCUAUAAGACUGGGAUAACUUCGGGAAACCGGAGCUAAUACCGGAUAAUAUAUUGAACCGCAUGGUUCAAUAGUGAAAGACGGUUUUGCUGUCACUUAUAGAUGGAUCCGCGCCGCAUUAGCUAGUUGGUAAGGUAACGGCUUACCAAGGCAACGAUGCGUAGCCGACCUGAGAGGGUGAUCGGCCACCCUGGAACUGAGACACGGUCCAGACUCCUACGGGAGGCAGCAGUAGGGAAUCUUCCGCAAUGGGCGAAAGCCUGACGGAGCAACGCCGCGUGAGUGAUGAAGGUCUUCGGAUCGUAAAACUCUGUUAUUAGGGAAGAACAAAUGUGUAAGUAACUAUGCACGUCUUGACGGUACCUAAUCAGAAAGCCACGGCUAACUACGUG